RNAcentral lists this ribosomal RNA (484 nucleotides) under uncultured bacterium. RNAcentral describes it as "partial 16S ribosomal RNA". It matches the Rfam family "Bacterial small subunit ribosomal RNA", at positions 30 to 507 of the family's 1533-position model. The record is from RNAcentral.
AUUGAACGCUGGCGGCAGGCCUAACACAUGCAAGUCGAGCGGAUGAAGGGAGCUCGCUCCUGGAUUCAGCGGCGGACGGGUGAGUAAUGCCUAGGAAUCUGCCUGGUAGUGGGGGAUAACGUCCGGAAACGGGCGCUAAUACCGCAUACGUCCUGAGGGAGAAAGUGGGGGAUCUUCGGACCUCACGCUAUCAGAUGAGCCUAGGUCGGAUUAGCUAGUUGGUGGGGUAAAGGCCUACCAAGGCGACGAUCCGUAACUGGUCUGAGAGGAUGAUCAGUCACACUGGAACUGAGACACGGUCCAGACUCCUACGGGAGGCAGCAGUGGGGAAUAUUGGACAAUGGGCGAAAGCCUGAUCCAGCCAUGCCGCGUGUGUGAAGAAGGUCUUCGGAUUGUAAAGCACUUUAAGUUGGGAGGAAGGGCAGUAUGUUAAUACCUUGCUGUUUUGACGUUACCAACAGAAUAAGCACCGGCUAACUUCGUG